UACGGAGGGUGCAAGCGUUAUCCGGAUUCACUGGGUUUAAAGGGUGCGUAGGUGGGUUGAUAAGUCAGUGGUGAAAUCCCCGAGCUUAACUUGGGAACUGCCAUUGAUACUAUUGAUCUUGAAUACCGUGGAGGUCAGCGGAAUAUGUCAUGUAGCGGUGAAAUGCGUAGAGAUGUGGAGGAACACCGAUGGCGAAGGCAGCCUCCUGGGCCAGCACUGACGCUCAUGCACGAAAGCGUGGGGAGCAAACAGG
Molecule: ribosomal RNA, 253 nt
Filed under: uncultured bacterium
Lineage: Bacteria
Description: partial 16S ribosomal RNA
Rfam family: Bacterial small subunit ribosomal RNA
Source: RNAcentral